UACAGAGGGUGCAAGCGUUAAUCGGAAUUACUGGGCGUAAAGCGUGCGCAGGCGGUGAUGUAAGACAGAUGUGAAAUCCCCGGGCUCAACCUGGGAACUGCAUCUGUGACUGCAUUGCUGGAGUGCGGCAGAGGGGGAUGGAAUUCCGCGUGUAGCAGUGAAAUGCGUAGAUAUGCGGAGGAACACCGAUGGCGAAGGCAAUCCCCUGGGCCUGCACUGACGCUCAUGCACGAAAGCGUGGGGAGCAAACAGG
RNAcentral lists this ribosomal RNA (253 nucleotides) under uncultured bacterium. RNAcentral describes it as "partial 16S ribosomal RNA". It matches the Rfam family "Bacterial small subunit ribosomal RNA", at positions 524 to 776 of the family's 1533-position model. The record is from RNAcentral.